This 165-nucleotide unclassified non-coding RNA is filed under the name soil metagenome. RNAcentral's name for it is "partial internal transcribed spacer 1". The record is from RNAcentral.
AAGAGACGUUGCCCUUCGGGGUUAUACCUCCCACCCUUUGUUUAUUUCUACCUUUGUUGCUUUGGCGGGCCCGUCCUCGGACCACCGGCUUCUGCUGGUCAGUGCCCGCCAGAGGACCUAAAACUCUGUUUGUUAAUAUUGUCUGAGUACUAUAUAAUAGUUUAA